Molecule: ribosomal RNA, 254 nt
Filed under: uncultured bacterium
Lineage: Bacteria
Description: partial 16S ribosomal RNA
Rfam family: Bacterial small subunit ribosomal RNA
Source: RNAcentral
UACGGGGGGGGCAAGCGUUGUUCGGAAUUACUGGGCGUAAAGGGCUCGUAGGCGGCCAACUAAGUCAGACGUGAAAUCCCUCAGCUUAACUGGGGAACUGCGUCUGAUACUGGAUGGCUAGAGUGUGGGAGAGGGAUGCGGAGUUCCAGGUGUAGCGGUGAAAUGCGUAGAUAUCUGGAGGAACACCGGUGGCGAAGGCGGCAUCCUGGACCACGACUGACGCUGAGUGAGCGAAAGCCAGGGGAGCAAACGGG